GCACCACAAGAACGCGUGGAGCAUGUGGCUUAAUUUGACUCAACGCGGGAAAUCUUACCGGGUCCGGACACACUGAGGAUUGACAGGCAAUAUCUCAUGGUUAUUAACCCGGUUAUUACAUUUUGUUUAAUCGGUUAUUAAGCAUCGAGUGUUAAAUAUGCUAGUCCUUUCAUGAUUAUGUGAUAGGUGGUGCAUGGCCGUUCUUAGUUCGUGGAGUGAUCUGUCUGCUUAAUUGCGUUUCACUAAGGGCCCAUAAAUUCAAGGUAUGUUAGCUAUCGUCGCUCUAUGGACCCCUUA
This 297-nucleotide ribosomal RNA is filed under the name Neogloboquadrina pachyderma. RNAcentral's name for it is "partial 18S ribosomal RNA". It matches the Rfam family "Eukaryotic small subunit ribosomal RNA", at positions 1164 to 1394 of the family's 1831-position model. The record is from RNAcentral. Lineage: Eukaryota; Foraminifera; Rotaliida; Globorotaliidae.